AUGAAGUUAUGGCACCCCAAAUACUCCCCAUGUGUGCGCGCGCGCAUGCGGUGCCUAGGGUAGGUAGUAGAGUACUUCAUAUACCUGUACUAUUCAUGCUUCAACUUUGGGGUAGUUUUCAUGUGCAUACAACAUAUUGGACCUUGCAGGACCCUCUUGGCAUCCUGUUGCUGGAAAAAAACUACACAGCCGAAUCGUUUUUUUAUUUCUGAAACAAGAUUUCUAUUGCACAAGCCUUCUGAAACAGGAUAGUGUUUUCCAUUUCUUAAAGCUCAAAUCUUGUUGCGCAAAAUUGUAGAUCAAAAUUAGUGUCUGCAUGUCCUGGAUACCUAGCUAGCUAUGUUCCAGUUUGACAAUCAACUUUGUAGAUGCUCAGUUUGACAAAGUUUUUAUAAGAUGUUUAAUUUUUGGAUGGAACAAAAAAGGAAGCAUAGUUGAAAUGCAAUGCAAUCAGACUUGUAAAGGUCUUGCAUUGCACAAAAUGCUAAGGAUGAGGCCAGAAGAAGGUUCAAUGAAGUGAAAAAAUUACUCCUUACUUGGUCUGCAUGCAGUGAUCGACUACUGGUUUGCUUGUCAGGUUAGGCCAAAACAAAACGUUGUUGGUAAUUUUACGGUUUGUAACUGAUGCCCUUGCCACAAGAAAUUUAUUGAUGUCGCAAUUUUGUAGUCUAACCCUUCAGUCCUCAUAAGAAAUAAAAUAGACAUCUGAUUUGAACACUUGUACAUAUAUGUGUGCAAAACAGCUAAAUUAUGUACAGUAGGCCUCAAAAGAACAGUUACUUUUGCUGUUAAUUUGCAAGACAUUCUUAAUUUUGCCUCAAAAGAAUGACAAUUUUGUUACUCUCAGCAUUUAUUGUUGGUUACAAAUAGAGAAUUGGUAGUUGCUUAAAGAAAGACUAAAACCACAAGGUCACAUUUGAAGUUAUAGGUCGAUUUAGCGAGUCAUAAUAGACAAAAUAAUUUACUUAUCAUACUAAACUAUUGUGAUCUCGGUCCACACUUUUCGGAACCACUAUACUACCUAUUAGUUAAUUAGCAGCACGCUACUACCUAGAUGUAACUUUGUAGAUGCUUUUCUACUGUUAAUUGCAUCUUGCAUGAAUUUUUUGUUCUUCUUGCAGUUGUUCUGUUUCCCAUAGAAGCUGCAUCUUUCUAGAAGCUGCUACAUCAGAUUAAGUAAGUACACCCUGUUUGCCUAAAUUAUUGUUCAAGAGGCAGCUGAAACAAAAUUUCAUACACAGAAACAAUUAACAGGCAUUACCUUCAUUGUUAGCGUUGAUACUG
Molecule: long non-coding RNA, 1284 nt
Filed under: Triticum aestivum (bread wheat)
Lineage: Eukaryota; Viridiplantae; Streptophyta; Magnoliopsida; Poales; Poaceae
Description: long non-coding RNA (TAES_LNC013849)
Source: RNAcentral